GAUGAAGAACGUAGCGAAAUGCGAUAAGUAGUGUGAAUUGCAGAAUUCAGUGAAUCAUCAAAUCUUUGAACGCACAUUGCGCCCCUCGGUAUUCCGUGGGGCAUGCCUGUUCGAGCGUCAUUUAACCCCUCAAGCCUAGCUUGGUAUUGGGUGCUUGUCCCGCCUCUCGCGCGGCGACUCACCUCAAAGUCAUUGGCAGCCCGCAUCUCGCCGGCCGUGAGCGCAGCACAGACGCGCUCUUGGCAACGACGGAUCGGCUCUCCAAAAGCUUAUUUCAACCACUGACCUCGGAUCAGGUAGGGAUACCCGCUGAACUUAAGCAUAUCAAUAAGCGGAGGA
RNAcentral lists this unclassified non-coding RNA (339 nucleotides) under soil metagenome. RNAcentral's name for it is "partial contains 5.8S ribosomal RNA, internal transcribed spacer 2, and large subunit ribosomal RNA". The stretch from base 1 to 120 matches the Rfam family "5.8S ribosomal RNA", at positions 35 to 154 of the family's 154-position model. The record is from RNAcentral.